RNAcentral lists this ribosomal RNA (253 nucleotides) under uncultured bacterium. RNAcentral's name for it is "partial 16S ribosomal RNA". It matches the Rfam family "Bacterial small subunit ribosomal RNA", at positions 524 to 776 of the family's 1533-position model. The record is from RNAcentral.
UACGUAGGGGACAAGCGUUGUCCGGAUUUAUUGGGCGUAAAGAGCGUGUAGGCGGCCAGGUAGGUCUGCUGUGAAAACUCGAGGCUUAACCUCGAGAUGUCGGCGGAAACCAUCUGGCUAGAGUCCGGAAGAGGAGAAUGGAAUUCCCGGUGUAGCGGUGAAAUGCGCAGAUAUCGGGAAGAACACCCGUGGCGAAGGCGGUUCUCUGGGACGGUACUGACGCUGAGACGCGAAAGCGUGGGGAGCGAACAGG